UAGGGAAUAUUGCGCAAUGGGGGAAACCCUGACGCAGCGACGCCAUGUGGGGGAUGAAGGCCUUCGGGUCGUAAACCCCUGUCAGGAGGGAAUAAAGGUAACGGGCUAAUAUCCCGGUGCUCUGACAGUACCUCCAGAGGAAGCCCCGGCUAAUUACGUGCCAGCAGCCGCGGUAAUACGUAAGGGGCAAGCGUUGUCCGGAAUCACUGGGCGUAAAGGGCGUGUAGGCGGCAGCUUAAGUCGAAGGUGAAAUCGCCGGGCUUACCCCGGCAAUGGCCUUCGAUACUGGGUUGCUAGAGGACAGGAGAGGAGAGUGGAAUUCCUGGUGUAGCGGUGAAAUGCUUAGAUAUCAGGAAGAACACCAGUGGCGAAGGCGGCUCUCUGGACUGUUCCUGACGCUGAGGCGCGAAAGCUAGGGGAGCGAACAGG
RNAcentral lists this ribosomal RNA (429 nucleotides) under uncultured bacterium. RNAcentral's name for it is "bacterial SSU rRNA". It matches the Rfam family "Bacterial small subunit ribosomal RNA", at positions 355 to 776 of the family's 1533-position model. The record is from RNAcentral.